ACAGAGGAGAGUUGACUGUAAACUGCUUGGUAAAUGACCACAAACCAGCUCAGACCGCCCCAGCUGCCAACACACUGACACCCCGGGGCUGGCCCACAAAGAAGGCAGGAUUGGGAGAGACUGGGCCAGCCCAAGCCUCUUCCCUGCUCUGAACUCUUGUGGGAGGAGAGGAGGGGCUGGGGGCUGGGAGGCUGAUCUGCCUGGACCUGGAGCUCUCCAAGUUAGGCUCAGCAGGGCCUCAGACGUCCCCCCAAACCCUGUCUUCUUUGCUCACAAAUUGUACAAUUGAGAAAACAGAGGAUCCUUGUCUCUCCGAGUCUGUCUCUGACCUGCCAAGUGACCUUGGAAGAGUCACCCAACCUCUCUGGGUAUGGAAGUUUUACAGUCCUGACACGUCCAGGAUCAACAACAGCAACAACGCAGCAUUUUACCUAAUUAUAACACUCUGUAAAUUACAAGUAUUCCUGUACUCCAGCUCUGAUGAUAAUAACCCACAAGGCUGCAGAAGAGACUUGGGGCCCCAUUUUGCUGAUGAUGAUACUAAGGCUCAGAGAGACAAGGUCACACAGAGUUUGGAACAGAGCUGGAGCCAGAACACAGAACUCCAGAACCAGGGUUCUUGCCUAAACUAGAGGGCUCACCAGGCUUAGGAAUAUAUAAAACCCUGAAAAAGCACAUGCACCGGGGUUAGGCCUGGCCCACCCCAGGACUCUCAGCGGCUCCGGGAUCCAGAAGGUGGAGGACUGCCCUUUACACUCUCCAGCCCAGACUCUGCUAUUCAGCUCUGGGGCCUCGCCUUUUGGAGCCUCGGCCUCUCUGCUCUGCCGUGGAGCCACAGAGACGGGCACCACAGACCAGGAGAGCCUGGUGCGGCGAGCACUCGUCAGCCUCUGGAACCAUGCACCAGGACAGGUCUGUGCUCCACUGUCUCCCCCGUGACUCUGGUUCUGGCCUCUGGGCCCAGUGGCUUCUGAUCAGCCCUCAGGUUAUCGGCGGAUACAACAUCUUCGUUUUGUAUGUGGUGCUGAGGAUCGAACCCUGGCCGCACGCAUGUGGAUAUGCCGGCCAGCACCAGGCGCCAGCACUGUGAACAUGCCAACUUGGAUGUUCUAUCCCAGUUGGGCCCCUGAUGACUGCACCCUCUAAGAUACUACACGGAGCAGAAGAACCACGGAAACCAGCCAGGCACAGAAUUGUGAGACAUAAUAAAAUAGGAUUUAUUUUAACUCACUAAA
This is a long non-coding RNA of Marmota monax (woodchuck), 1235 nucleotides long. RefSeq lists it as uncharacterized. The record is from RefSeq and is a predicted model, not a curated record. The transcript has 3 exons. NCBI's taxonomy places the organism in Eukaryota, Metazoa, Chordata, Mammalia, Rodentia, Sciuridae.